This 719-nucleotide ribosomal RNA is filed under the name human gut metagenome. RNAcentral's name for it is "bacterial LSU rRNA". It matches the Rfam family "Bacterial large subunit ribosomal RNA", at positions 1218 to 1957 of the family's 2925-position model. The record is from RNAcentral.
UUUAGGAGUGGUAGAGGAGCAUUGUUAGCGCAGCGAAGCUGUACCGAUAAGGAGCAGUGGAGUGCUAAGAAGAGAGAAUGCCGGAAUGAGUAGCGAGAGGAAGGUGAGAAUCCUUCCGGCCGAAUAUCCAAGGUUUCCAGAGUAAAGCUGAUCUGCUCUGGGUAAGUCGGGGCCUAAGGCGAGGUCGAAAGACGUAGUCGAUGGAUAACAGGUGGAGAUUCCUGUACUAUGUGUACCCAGAACUGUGGGGACGCAUGUGGAGAGCAUGAGCCGGGAAAGAGAAAACCGGUACAAGCGGGGUAGGAGUAAGGACAGCAAAUCUUCCUUACAAUCCGAAGACGUAAUGUGGACCGAACCAAAGUAGGGAAGCGUGUGAGCCAUGUGCCAAGAAAAGCCGCUAUUGUGAUACACAUACCCGUACCGUAAACCGACACAGGUGGAUGAGGAGAGAAUCCUAAGGCCGACGGAAGAAGCAUUGUUAAGGAACUCGGCAAAAUGACCCCGUAACUUCGGGAGAAGGGGUGCCCUGUGAAAGCAGGGCCGCAGAGAAUAGGCUCAAGCAACUGUUUAGCAAAAACACAGGUCUAUGCGAAACCGAAAGGUGAGGUAUAUGGGCUGACGCCUGCCCGGUGCUGGAAGGUUAAGAGGAGAAGUCAGGCAACGAAGCCUCGAAUUUAAGCCCCAGUAAACGGCGGCCGUAACUAUAACGGUCCUAAGGU